UGUCUGCGGGGCUCUGGCCUCAGUGGCUCGCUCUGUCACUCCGCUUUCCAAUACACGCACCCGCAGGACUUUCUUUGAGGGUUUCCUUUUUUGGAGUGAGCACUGAACGCAGAGCGCUUGGACGGUGGCGCGGCGUUCACGACCCGGCCCCGCGCAGACUCCAGAGACUCCUGCAGGAUAGGGAGCAGCUCCUAAAGGCCCUUUCCUCCUUCCUCCUAUUUGCCUCACAGUCCCCCACAAGAAGCACCCCCUCUUAAGCAGGGCCAGGACAGGUGACGCCUGUACAUCCCACCCCCCCACCCACAUUUGGAAAGGGUUAGAGAGGAAAAGAAAAGCCUAGCGUGUUAGAAAAUUAAAGCAAAAUCCUUGACAAAUGAAAACAAUCCAGCGCAUUUUAGCACUGCUUUUAGAGGAGUGCUGUGAUAGUGGUCCGGCCCUG
RNAcentral lists this long non-coding RNA (439 nucleotides) under Homo sapiens (human). RNAcentral describes it as "HSALNT0136542". The record is from RNAcentral. Lineage: Eukaryota; Metazoa; Chordata; Mammalia; Primates; Hominidae.